UCCGGCUUACACCGGCGGUCUCCUAUGAGUUCCCGGCUUUCCCGCUGGCAACAUAGGACGAGGGUUGCGCUCGUUUACGGACUUAACCGCACACCUCACGGCACGAGCUGACGACAGCCAUGCAACAUCUGUUUUCAGGUCCCCUUGUGGGGGAGGGCCCAAUCUCUUGGGCUUUCCUUCAAUGUCAAACCUGGGUAAGGUUCUUCGGUUAGUAUCGAAUUAAUCCACAUGCUCCACCGCUUGUGCGGGUCCCCGUCAAUUCAUUUGAGUUUCAACCUUGCGGCCGUACUCCCCAGGCGGGAUACUUAGUGCGUUAGCUGCGGCACAAGAGGGGUCGAUACCUCUUACGCCUAGUAUCCAUCGUUUAGGGCGUGGACUAC
This 380-nucleotide unclassified non-coding RNA is filed under the name uncultured Armatimonadota bacterium. Its description in RNAcentral is "uncultured Armatimonadetes bacterium contains 16S-23S intergenic spacer region". Lineage: Bacteria; Bacillati; Armatimonadota. The record is from RNAcentral.